This 502-nucleotide ribosomal RNA is filed under the name Bacillus sp. (in: firmicutes). RNAcentral describes it as "bacterial SSU rRNA". It matches the Rfam family "Bacterial small subunit ribosomal RNA", at positions 62 to 559 of the family's 1533-position model. The record is from RNAcentral. Lineage: Bacteria; Bacillati; Bacillota; Bacilli; Caryophanales; Bacillaceae.
UCGAGCGGACCUCUUCGGAGGUUAGCGGCGGACGGGUGAGUAACACGUGGGCAACCUGCCUGUAAGACUGGGAUAACUCCGGGAAACCGGAGCUAAUACCGGAUAGUAUCUUGAACCGCAUGGUUCAAGUUGGAAAGACGGUUUCGGCUGUCACUUACAGAUGGGCCCGCGGCGCAUUAGCUAGUUGGUGAGGUAAUGGCUCACCAAGGCAACGAUGCGUAGCCGACCUGAGAGGGUGAUCGGCCACACUGGGACUGAGACACGGCCCAGACUCCUACGGGAGGCAGCAGUAGGGAAUCUUCCGCAAUGGACGAAAGUCUGACGGAGCAACGCCGCGUGAGUGAUGAAGGUUUUCGGAUCGUAAAACUCUGUUGUUAGGGAAGAACAAGUGCGAGAGUAACUGCUCGCACCUUGACGGUACCUAACCAGAAAGCCACGGCUAACUACGUGCCAGCAGCCGCGGUAAUACGUAGGUGGCAAGCGUUGUCCGGAAUUAUUGGGC